GGCCCAAGGUGAGGGACAUCGAGAUCAAACAUGUAAUAGUGUGUUAAGAUGAUAUUUCUAAAUCAGGUAUAUAUGAACCUAGACAUAAUUAUACUUGUAUAGAAAAACAGAUCACAAAUGUGCUAAUUAAUAAGAUUAAAAAACCUUUUGACUUAAAUUUGUUUUAUGCAAUUUGUAGUGGACGGUUAAAUGGAGUAUGCUGCAGGGCACAUGGUUAUUUGCAAUAUCCGUGAACUGUUACUUGUUUUGGUGAUGUUUGUAUUUGGUUGAGAGAGAGAGAGAAAGAGAGAGAGAUUAGUAUAAGGUGUAUAGACAAUGCAGUAUUAAAGGGUCCCAUGAAGAAUGGGCAUCCACUAGCAACUUGGG
Molecule: long non-coding RNA, 366 nt
Filed under: Glycine max (soybean)
Lineage: Eukaryota; Viridiplantae; Streptophyta; Magnoliopsida; Fabales; Fabaceae
Description: long non-coding RNA (GMAX_LNC002068)
Source: RNAcentral